AAAAAUAACUGUAUUAUAAAAUAAGUGAAUAAGAUGUAACAACGGUUGAAAUUAGUUUUUGUUUCUAGUGUGUGGAGAAGGUUUUAUCAUGGCACACAUCUGUUUACAUCGGAGGAAACUCCUCAUGUGAUGCGACAUUUAGCAAUUUGCAAGUGUGCAGCACAUCAGAAGAAUGACUAUGAAAUUACAAAGGGAAACAAUUUUACUGACAAAGGAUGAACAAAAAGCAGCUCCCACAGCUGAGCAAAAGAAAUGGCUGAAAUGCGGAGCGCAACUAAAAGACGACUUGAUGAUUUGUGAAGGAAAACCAAUACUUCCAAAAUCUCUACACAAAACAGCAGCCUUAGUGACACAUGGAGUUACCCUCCAUGCGUCAACAGGAGGGAUAAGAGAUAUAAUCUCCAAAACACACUCUAAAUUUCGAAACUUCAGCAAAAUGCUUAUGUAACCAUUUUAUUCCAACAUAUAGCAUCCCCACUCUGAUAAGAUCAGAUAAUGGGACACACUUUGUCAAUGAGGUAAUCAGCAAAGUCUCUGAAGCACUAGGGUUCAACAUCAAAUAUCACUGUGCUUACCAUCCUCAAAGUGCCGGCCUAGCGGAAAGAACUAACGGCACAGAGACUUAGAAAAUGCAUGGAAGAAACAGGAAGACCGUGGCCAGAGUGUAUAGGCCUAGUAAAAAUGUGGAUGAGAUUAACCCAAUGCUCGCAGAAACUGACACCAUUUGAAAUUGUACAUGGUAGACCUUUUCCUCUGCUCAUCACCAGUGAACCAAUAGACAAGUCAGUCAGAGAAACAACCCUAGCAGAAUGGAUGACAAAACUGCUAGAGAACAAAGAAAUAGUUCUGAGCAACCAACUGCCGAAUGAUUCUUCUCCAGUCUCUUCCAGGUUGAAACCAGGCGACUGGAUCCUGAUCAAGGUACUCCAGAGGAAAAACUGGAGCUCUCCGAGGUGGGAGGGCCCUUUUCAGGUCCUGCUAACGACGCCAACAGCGUGCAAGACCGCUGAAAGACCUUCGUGGAUCCACCAGAGCCACACCAAAAAAGUACAAGGGGACACAAGCCCAGACGCCAGUUCACCUGUCAUCUAGUGAUCUGUAAGUGGAGGAGAGGGCAGAUUGGGUAUACCCCGCCCUCUUGACUUCUCGCUUUCAGUCAACACACUAGGUGAUCUGGUGAACUUGGUCGACCUGAAGAAACCCCAUUGUAACCCGAGCACCGACCUUGCCCCACCUGCCCGGUAGAGUAACAGGAGAUCAGUCCGACCUGCAAAACCAGAAGAGCAACCCAUCACUCAAGUAACUACUCAGACACUUAUAAACAAUGCCCGACACAGAUGUGCAAAAUGAACAUUCAGACAUUUCAGAUGGAGAGGACCCAGUCCCCAACAGGACUCGACGACGAUGCUGGUCAGAGGAAUGCCAACUAAUGCAUAAUUAUGUACCCCAUAACAAAACUGAAAUGGCAUUCUUUGUAAACCUACUACAAACUCUAGAAACAGUAAUGAAUACAAGUCUGCGUGCAUGUGCUCCAAAAGAACCAAUAAAGAACUUAACAACACUUCCGGUCACACCGCCCGAACUAGCCCAUAACAUGACCAUGGUCUGCCUAUGGAGACUUAGAGUCCCAGAAAAGCAGGGUGUAUCUUUUGUUUAUCCAAAUAAGACACUGCAACCGAAUCUUCCUGGCACAAGCUUAUAGCCCGAUAGCAACUGAAGAAGAAGAAGACUGUGUUUAAGAAUUUCUUGCACUUAACAUGACGUAGCAAUUGAAAAUGUGCAAACAAGUGAUUGUCUACUGAAGCCUAUGAAGUAUGAGUGAAAUAUAUUAACAACAGGAGGGAAUGUUAUGAGAUUCUAUGUUUUUAUGUGUUUUAUUCUUUGUUUUAUUAUCUUUUAAUAUUCAAGCAUAUUGUAAAGUGUUUAUAUAUUUCACAGAAUUUGCUGUACUUUCCCAUGUCACAAGAUUCGAUGUAUUGCUCCAUUGUCAUGCAACCCGACAGUGAACUCUGCAAUACAUAUAGUUUAAGCAGGAAACAGAUGCGGGUCACCCAGACUACAAUAGAAAACGGAUGAGGCACCUAAACCACAACAGGAAAACAGAUGCGCGACUCCCUAACCACAAAAGA
This is a long non-coding RNA of Oreochromis aureus, 2129 nucleotides long. The record is from Ensembl. NCBI's taxonomy places the organism in Eukaryota, Metazoa, Chordata, Actinopteri, Cichliformes, Cichlidae.